UGCAUUCUUCCUUUUCACUUCUUGGUUUUUAAAAAAAACUAGAAGUAGUUGUUAGUGUGAGGGAAGUGAAUGAUGAGACAUGUACCCAGUAGUCACCCUGCAAGAAUCAGGGUGGUGGUGACUUUAAAGGAUUUCCUGAUACUUCCCAUUUUUUGUCACCUAUUUUUUUUUUUUAAAUCUUUAAGUGAGUUUAAGAAAUAACCUCUGAAAGCUACUUUGUCUUGUCUCUUGCUUUUUCUCUUGACAGUUCCUAAUCACAAGACUUGGAAGAAACUUAGCUCACACAUCAAUGAUUCUGCAUUCAACAUCACAACCUGAAGCCUGCAAUGUUUUCUUGCCUUUACCCCCCAGCUGGGGGCGCUGCCGUGCAAAGAAAUAUACCAUCUCUUCAGCGGAGUCCAUCAAAUUUUGUUUCCUGUGGCAACAGGUAUGACCUUUGGCCCUGCACGUGUCCAAUCCAAAUGCCAGUUCAGUGGACCAGAAAAGGCAAAACACUGAAAUGGUCCUGGCAUUUGCAGAAUUGCUUCUCUCCUUUUGUGGCGUCUCUCAUUCUCUGUAGUCGGAACUGUUUGUGGCUAGAAAGGAAAGCGACUGAUGCAUCUUAGUCAGACCCGUGGCCUUCUAUCGGCGGUUUCACACUUCAAACACACGUCAAGUGUUUCUCCAUCCCUCUCCUCCAGCUGAAAGUUUGUCACUCAUCUCCUGCAGCCUCUCAGCGACUCGAGGCCAAGUGAGUCAGAGCCGCGCAGACCUGAGGAAAGCUGCUCAACUCAACUGGGCAAAGUGGAGCAGAACCGAGAGGUGAAGGGAGGAUGUGAGUAGAGAGUCGGCUCAUAAUGGAGGGACAUGGUUUGGGGGUUUGACCCACAUGUCAGGAAACAAGACGUCUCCUAGGUGACAAAGUUAUGCGGAAAGUGGCAGAGGGUUGACAGGAAGGAAGAUGGAUGGCAACAAUAUGAGGCUGUGGGUUAAAAAUGGAACCUAAUGACUUGUCAGGCCUCAUGCUUGACCAUAAUGAGUGACCGCACAGUGUGUGCGCUGUGACAGACACUCACCGUGGCAGGAACAAGCGAGCGAAUCUGCAGAUGCACUUGACCCCCUGCCGAGCUGCUGUGCAGUUCCUGUUCUCUCUCUCUGACGUCGUGCCUCGUUUCUGCGUAACAGCACCACUGACGCCUCCUCCCGGACCUUCCAGGAAGACAGAUGGACAUCACCAGAUUAUAGAUGUCACACCACAGUGAUUAACACUCUCUGAAUUGACUCCUGGAGCUGCUUUAUUUAUAUAUAAUUACCCGGCAUCAUCACCUGUGUGUAGAUACACCCGUCUGUCUGGAUAACAAGAGUUGGACAACCUCAGAAACACUGAAGCCCAUCAGUAUUUUCCAACAUUGAAGUUCACUUGUGUACUUAUGGGUACUUCUUGAAAAAGCUUGUGUUGCUCACACAUUAUGGGACCGACAGAGAUGUAAGGUCUGGCCCUUUAAUGAGAGCAGAACAGACACAUUAACCUUUUCAGAGGCUGUAGCCUGACUUGGUCUCAGCGCUGCUGAAGAGUCCCAGACUGCUGUAUCGAUCUCAUUAUUUUGUAAAAGGAAGUUGUUAACAGUGUGAGCCUUUGGAGUGUUGGAGUGACAUUCAGAUAUUUCCCUGAAGAUACUGUCUCCAUUUUAAUGAUCUUUCUUUUUUUUUCUUCCCCAUUUAUCUUUUAUUUAAUUUGAUUGUUCGUCUUUGUAAGUAAUUUGUUAAUGGAAAGACCAAUAAUCAAUAAUUUUGAAGUUUACUGUUAUUAGUUUGUGGAGACACGUUGGUUAUUAGCUUCAUUUAUUUAAUUUUCCUGUGUGUUUUUGUUAUUUUUUAACAGGAUUACACAAAAAAUGCUGAAUCACUUUUCACCAAACCUGAAUGAGGAAUGGAGCACUGGUCUGGACAGAACCCAUUCCAUUUUCUUCCCUCUAACAAUGUAGCAUAAGACGGUUUUUAAUGUUACACACAGUAAUGGAAAUGAUUUUUGGGUGUUUUUAUUUGUAUAAACUACUGUGGAUCCAAAUAAAGAUUUCAAUCAGGCACAUUUUAAUGUCUGUCAUUAAACUGGCAGAUAAAUGAAUCUUGAAAAUAUUUGCUAAAAGCCAAAUGCUACAUAUU
Long non-coding RNA from Solea solea (common sole), 2142 nucleotides. RefSeq lists it as uncharacterized. The transcript has 3 exons. The record is from RefSeq and is a predicted model, not a curated record. NCBI's taxonomy places the organism in Eukaryota, Metazoa, Chordata, Actinopteri, Pleuronectiformes, Soleidae.